This 274-nucleotide ribosomal RNA is filed under the name uncultured bacterium. RNAcentral's name for it is "partial 16S ribosomal RNA". It matches the Rfam family "Bacterial small subunit ribosomal RNA", at positions 523 to 796 of the family's 1533-position model. The record is from RNAcentral.
AUACGGAGGAUGCAAGCGUUACUCGGAAUCACUGGGCGUAAAGCGCGCGCAGGCGGCUAUUUAAGUUGGAUGUGAAAGCCUACGGCUCAACCGUAGAACUGCAUCCAAAACUAUUUAGCUAGAGUGUGGGAGAGGAAGAUGGAAUUAGUUGUGUAGGGGUAAAAUCCGUAGAGAUAACUAGGAAGACCGAAAGCGAAGGCGAUCUCCUGGAACAUAACUGACGCUAAGGCGUGAAAGCGUGGGGAGCAAACAGGAUUAGAAACCCCGGUAGUCC